RNAcentral lists this ribosomal RNA (380 nucleotides) under uncultured bacterium. RNAcentral's name for it is "bacterial SSU rRNA". It matches the Rfam family "Bacterial small subunit ribosomal RNA", at positions 28 to 408 of the family's 1533-position model. The record is from RNAcentral.
GAUAAACGCUGGCGGCGUGCAUGAGACAUGCAAGUCGAACGGGUGACUCGGGCUUGCUCGAGUCACUAGUGGCGGACGGCUGGAGUAACGCGUAGGUGACCCUGCCCCGAAGUGGGGAAUAACUGCCCGAAAGGGUGGCUAAUACCGCAUGUGGUGGUGCGUUCAUACGCACCAGUAAAGCCGCAAGGCGCUUCGGGGAGGGCCUGCGUCCGAUUAGCUCGUUGGNGGGGUAACGGCUCACCAAGGCGACGAUCGGUAGGUGGUCUGAGAGGACGAUCACCCAGACUGGGACUGAGACACGGCCAGUACUCCUACGGGAGGCAGCAGUCGGAAUUUUGCGCAAUGGGCGAAAGCCUGACGCAGCGACGCCGCGUGAGGGA